UUGAACGCUGGCGGCAGGCCUAACCCCUGCCAGUCGAACGGUAACAGGAAGAAGCUUGCUUCUUUGCUGACGAGUGGCGGACGGGUGAGUAAUGCCUGGGAAACUGCCUGAUGGAGGGGGAUAACUACUGGAAACGGUAGCUAAUACUGCAUAACGUCGCAAGACCAAAGAGGGGGACCUUCGGGCCUCUUGCCAUCGGAUGUGCCCAGAUGGGAUUAGCUAGUAGGUGGGGUAACGGCUCACCUAGGCGACGAUCCCUAGCUGGUCUGAUAGGAUGACCAGCCACACUGGAACUGGGACACGGUCCAGACUCCUACGGGAGGCAGCAGUGGGGAAUAUUGCACAAUGGGCGCAAGCCUGAUGCAGCCAUGCCGCGUGUAUGAAGAAGGCCUUCGGGUUGUAAAGUACUUUCAGCGGGGAGGAAGGGAGUAAAGUUAAUACCUUUGCUCAUUGACGUUACCCGCAGAAGAAGCACCGGCUAACUCCGUG
RNAcentral lists this ribosomal RNA (489 nucleotides) under uncultured bacterium. Its description in RNAcentral is "partial 16S ribosomal RNA". It matches the Rfam family "Bacterial small subunit ribosomal RNA", at positions 30 to 507 of the family's 1533-position model. The record is from RNAcentral.